Molecule: ribosomal RNA, 356 nt
Filed under: uncultured bacterium
Lineage: Bacteria
Description: bacterial SSU rRNA
Rfam family: Bacterial small subunit ribosomal RNA
Source: RNAcentral
GGGCCCGCACAAGCGGUGGAGUAUGUGGUUUAAUUCGAAGCAACGCGCAGAACCUUACCAGCCCUUGACAUGUUAGGUUUGAUUACCAGAGAUGGUUUUCUUCAGUUCGGCUGGCCUAAACACAGGUGCUGCAUGGCUGUCGUCAGCUCGUGUCGUGAGAUGUUGGUUAAGUCCCGCAACGAGCGCAACCCUCAUCUUCUGUUGCCAGCGGUUCGGCCAGGGCACUCUGGAGAAACUGCCUGCGAUGAGCAGGAGGAAGGCGGGGAUGACGUCAAGUCCUCAUGGCCCUUAUGGGCUGGGCUACACACGUGCUACAAUGGUAGUGACAAUGGGCUAAUCCCCAAAAAACUAUCUCA